UUGUUACUUAUUAAAGUGAGCACUUCUCUUGGUAAGGAUGAAAGAGGCCUUUGGGUCUGACAACAUGUAUAUGGUUAGGUGUUUCCACAUAGCUCAUGGCAUCUAGCCAUCUUUUUCU
Dipodomys ordii (Ord's kangaroo rat) is the source of this 118-nucleotide non-coding RNA. The record is from Rfam. NCBI's taxonomy places the organism in Eukaryota, Metazoa, Chordata, Mammalia, Rodentia, Heteromyidae.